AACGUGUUCAGAGCAUACAACUAAUUAGAGUUCUAAAAGAAUUAAUAUAAAAUUGAAUAAAUAGAAGGAUGUGGGUCCUACAUCUAGAGGACUCGAAUAUGCCAAUGUGAAAGCGUUGACGUCGGGAUCAUAUACCUCGAUUCUAACUCCUGAAACGGAGCGCAAAACAAGGGUGAGUGGACCAAGUUCAUAUAUAUAUAUAAUACGAAAACAGUUAUGAACAUACUAAUCCCUAGGUUUAUAUAUAAUAAAAAAAAAAUACUAACAUAAUAAGUGAUAGUUUUACUGAAACCCUAGCAUGCCAUAAAACAUCUCAACAAGUAUAACGCGGAAAAACAUCAUAUAAAUCAUCGCGUGUAUCGUCUCGUAGAUCGUCUCGUAAGCGCGGCGUUCUACUAGUAGGAUCACUGAAUAAAUAUAACUCCCGGCCCUAUGCCAACACCGUGGUCUCUGUGCCUAUAGCUAGAGAUUACUAACUCUCGGGCCAAUGCCUGCUCCAUGUCCCACAGCCCGUAGCUAGGGAUUAUUUCUCCCGGUCUAUCUGCCAACACCAGAUCCUCGCCCCAGGCGGCAUAGUGUCCACUAGGUACGCACAAAUAGUUACGCCUCUCAUAAAUAACCACUUCAUAGUAUAAAGUCAUCCAUUAUCUAUACUAUAAAGAGGGGUUUUGAAAACACAUUCUAGUAUCCUAUCGUCAUCCAUCAGAUAGUCUACCAGCUCAUGAUUUUUAUAGAAAAUACUAUAUAUUAAAAUAUAGCUCAAUAUAGGCCAACAAUUAAUUCCUCAGCAAAAACACGAGACGAAAAUCAACAUAUUUCAUAAACAUGCUUAACAUAAAAUCAAAUCAUAAACUCGUAAGGCAUGCUAUUCAUUUAUGCAAUUAAACCAUAAAAUCAUAUAAAUUUUAGAAGGGGUCCACUCACAGUACUUAGCCGCCAAAAACUGCGCUACUAGCGAAGACGGAAACGUCACAAUAAUUGCCCCUAAGCACAUAAAUAACACAUUUAGUGAAACUCUACUCAAACGAUUGAAUUUGGGAAAAAGUCACAAUAAUUGCCCCUAAGUUUAAUGAACUAAAAUAGUUUCCAACGAGACUAAUUUCCUAGAAACUUAGUAGAACGUAGGUUGAGAUACGAAUUGAUGCUAGGAAAUUGAAGGGUCAGAGACAUCCAAGAAAGAACCAGAGACAUCAAUAAUAAAAAUUUUGAGCAUUUUCAUUCACCAAAAGCAAAACAGUUUAGCUAAUGCAAAUUCACAAAUAGAAAAAGAUUUACCUUUAGCUAGCUACUGAUUCAUAACUCGAGCAAUACAUUUAAUGGCAGUCAAGUGGACAAUAAUAUAAAACCUAAACACAACCUGUCAACAAGUCUUCAUAAACCUACAUCAAAUGAAUGGUUGCUAACAAAUCACAAUACUAACCAAGAAAUUUUGUAAGAAUUGCAAAAGAUUUCACAUAAAUCAAAAGCUCUCUGAGCAAUUAACCAAGAAUUUUUGUUAGCUUUCUUUCCAAGACAUUAAAGCUAAAAUAACUUCUUUUUAGACAAGUAUGAAACUUGUUGCUUCGUAACAUCAUUAGCUAAUCCAAAUUCACAAAUAGCAAAGGGCUUUUACUUUUAGCUAGCAACUAAUUCAUAACUCGAGCAAUACAUUCAAGGGCAGUGAAGCAGACAAUAAUAUAAAACCUAAACACAAACUGUCAACAAGUCUUCAUAAACCUACAUCACAUGAAUGAUCAUACCGUUAAGUUAACAAAUCACAAUACUAACCAAGAAAUUUUGUAAGAUUUUGUAAGAAUUGCAAAAGAAUUCACAUAAAUCAAAAGCCCCUGUAUUAACCACGAAUUUUUGUUAGCUUUCAAAAUUGCAAAAGAAUUCACAUAAAUCAAAAGCCCCUGAGGUAUUAACCACGAAUUUUUGUUAGCUUUCUUUGCAGGACCUUGAAGCUAGUACAACCUCUUUUUUAGACAAGUAUGAAACUAGUUGGUUGGUAACAUCAUUAGCUAAUGCAAAUUCACAAAUAGUAAAAGGCUUUUACUUUUAACUAGCAACUGAUCCAUAACUUGAGCAAUACAUUUAAUAGCAGUCAAGCAGAAAAUAAUAUACAACCUAAACACAACCUGUCAACAAGUCUUCAUAAACCUACAUCAUAUGAAUGAUCAUACCGUUAUGUUAAUAUAUCACAAUACUAACAAAGAAAUUUGUAAGAUUUUGUAAGAAUUGCAAAAGAAUUCACAUAAAUCAAAAGCUCACUGAAGAAUUAACCAAGAAUUUUUGUUACCUUUCUUUGCAGGACCUUGAAACUAAUAUAACCUCUUUUUAGACAUGCAUGAACUUGUUGGUUGGUUUAACAUUAUUACCUAAACAAAUUCACAAAUUGCAAAAGGCUUUUACUUUUAGCUCACAACUGAUCCAUAACUCGAGCUAUACAUUUAAUAGCAGUCUAGCAGACAAUAAUAUAAAACUUAAACACAACCUGUCAACAAGUCUUCAUAAACCUACAUCAUAUGAAUGAUCAUAUCGUUAUGUUAAUAUAUCACAAUACUAACGAAGAAAUUUGUAAGACUUUUGUAAGAAUUGUAAAAGAAUUCACAUAAAUCAAAAGCUUACUGAGGAAUUAAACAAUAAUUUUUGUUUGCUUUCUUUGCAGGAUCUUGAAGCUAAUAUAACCUCUUUUUAAAAUUAUAAACCUUGUUGAUUGGUUUAACAUCAUUAGCUAAUGCAAACUCACAAAAUAGCAGAAGGCAUUUUGUCACACCCCGAUGUUUCUUUCUUUUUUCCUUCUUCAUUUAAUGGUGUGACAAAAAAAUAAAAUAAAAUAAAACUACAACUCAAACCAUUCCUAAAUUCAAAUUUUCCUCCUGAUUCGUCCUUACAAGAGUUGAACUCAACCUCACAAAAGAUAUUUCCAUUCCAUAACCCAAGCCUUGAAUAUAUUCGCAAACAUCUUCACUCCAACAUGUAAUGCAAUCCAGUAUUUAUUUAUAAUAGAGAAAUCAUAUGCCAACACCAAGAGUUAAAUAAUCAACUUCAUAAACACCAUCACAAUGAUACUAAUCAAGGAUAUCAAAUUCAUGAUUCAAUAAUAUUGGGGAAGAAAAUCACUUAAUCAAUCAUAAAAACAUAAGCAUACAAACUUGUAAGUGAAUAAUUAACUUAUAUAGUUCUACUUAAUUAUUAAUCUCUAAAUCCCCAACCUUGACUCCCGGCAAUCUUAAAUCUCUUUCCUUAGCUAUCCCGAGCUCUAAGGCACUGUCGAUUCUAAAGCCGAAUGUCAGAGUAAAAGGACAUGACAAACAAACCAAACAUUUAGAAUAUUGUAAGAUAAAAUCACUGUUCAACUUCCCUAACAAAAGGAAACUGCAAAAAGCUAAAGUUUGUUCUAGUUUUGUGGACACAAAACGAGCAAUUUUUUGCCUAAUCAAAUAUCGAUGAAAAUUUAUGAGUUUAUACUGGUUUGAAAGCUUGAAGAACCAUCUUUCCAACGAUAUAAAAUUUGUUAAAAAUCGAGCCUCGAAGUGAGAGAAAUCAUGAGUUAAAACAGCAAGUAUGUGUAGAACAACUGCACCCGAGUUUUACACGGAUUCAAAGGCACGUUUUUUAACAUGGGUUUGACCCAUCAAAUCUCACUGAAAAUCUUCGGAUAAAUACUCGACUUAAAGCUUUUGAAUCCAUCUUCAAUUCUACGGAAAAAGAAUUUGAAAAUAAGCUUUGUAGUGAAAGAAAAUAGGGACGAAAGAAGGCACUACGAAAUUGAAAGAUCUGAAAUCUGCACCUAGAAAAUUACGAACACUUUGAAACUUAGAUUCUUUUGAUUUUCCAUAGCUUCUCACAGGAUGAUAAAAACAUGAAAUAGGUACUAAAAGGGUUUGUUUUCAGAUCCAAAGAGAGAAUACAAACAUGGUAAAUCAAAUUGAAAAGAAUUACUCAAGACACCAAAAAUGAAAGAUCUUACCCUUAAGCUUUCCUCUGCAAACUUGAACCUAUUUCUUUCUUCUUCAGGG
This 4001-nucleotide long non-coding RNA is filed under the name Malus domestica (apple). Its description in RNAcentral is "long non-coding RNA (MDOM_LNC004299)". Lineage: Eukaryota; Viridiplantae; Streptophyta; Magnoliopsida; Rosales; Rosaceae. The record is from RNAcentral.